RNAcentral lists this ribosomal RNA (497 nucleotides) under uncultured bacterium. RNAcentral describes it as "partial 16S ribosomal RNA". It matches the Rfam family "Bacterial small subunit ribosomal RNA", at positions 28 to 507 of the family's 1533-position model. The record is from RNAcentral.
GAUGAACGCUGGCGGCGUGCCUAAUACAUGCAAGUCGAGCGAACAGACGAGGAGCUUGCUCCUCUGACGUUAGCGGCGGACGGGUGAGUAACACGUGGAUAACCUCCCUAUAAUACUGGGAUAAUUUCGGGAAACCGGAGCUAAUACCGGAUAAUAUCUUGAACCGCGUGGUUCAAUAGCGAAAGACGGUUUUGCUGUCACUUAUAGAUGGAUCCGCGCUGCAUUAGAUAGUUGGUAAGGUAACGGCUUACCAAGGCAACGAUGCGUAGCCGACCUGUGAGGGUGGUCGCCCACACUGGAAGUGAAACACGGUCCAGACUCCUACGGUAGGGAGCAGUAGGGUAUGUUCCGCAAUGGGCGGAAGCCUGGCGGAGCGACGCCGCGCGUGAGAUGAAAGUCUCCGGUUCGUAAUACUCUGUUAUGAGGUAAGAACAAAUGUGUAAGUAACUAUGCACGGCGUGACGGUACCUAAUCAGAAAGCCACGGCUAACUACGUG